CUGCUGCCUUCCGUAGGAGUUUGGGCCGUGUCUCAGUCCCAAUGUGGCCGUCCACCCUCUCAGGCCGGCUACUGAUCGUCGCCUUGGUGGGCCGUUACCUCACCAACUAGCUAAUCAGACGCGGGUCCAUCUUACACCACCUCAGUUUUUCACACUCGACCAUGCGGUCCUGUGCGCUCAUGCGGUAUUAGCACCUAUUUCUAAGUGUUAUCCCCCUGUGUAAGGCAGGUUACCCACGCGUUACUCACCCGUCCG
Molecule: ribosomal RNA, 255 nt
Filed under: uncultured bacterium
Lineage: Bacteria
Description: partial 16S ribosomal RNA
Source: RNAcentral